GACGAACGCUGGCGGCGUGCCUAAUACAUGCGAGUUGAGCGAUGAAGCUUGGUGCUUGCACCAAUUUGAAGAGCAGCGAACGGGUGAGUAACGCGUGGGGAAUCUGCCUUUGAGCGGGGGACAACAUUUGGAAACGAAUGCUAAUACCGCAUAAUAACUUUAAACAUAAGUUUUAAGCUUGAAAGAUGCAAUUGCAUCACUCAAAGAUGAUCCCGCGUUGUAUUGGCUAGUUGGUGAGGUAAAGGCUCACCAAGGCGAUGAUACAUAGCCGACCUGAGAGGGUGAUCGGCCACAUUGGGACUGAGACACGGCCCAAACUCCUACGGGAGGCAGCAGUAGGGAAUCUUCGGCAAUGGACGAAAGUCUGACCGAGCAACGCCGCGUGAGUGAAGAAGGUUUUCGGAUCGUAAAACUCUGUUGGUAGAGAAGAACGUUGGUGAGAGUGGAAAGCUCAUCAAGUGACGGUAACUACCCAGAAAGGGACGGCUAACUACGUG
This 497-nucleotide ribosomal RNA is filed under the name uncultured bacterium. RNAcentral describes it as "partial 16S ribosomal RNA". It matches the Rfam family "Bacterial small subunit ribosomal RNA", at positions 28 to 507 of the family's 1533-position model. The record is from RNAcentral.